UACAGAGACCUCAAACAUUGUCCGGAUUUAUUGGGCGUAAAGGGUCCGCAGGCGGUCUAGCGCGUCACUUGUCAAAUGUUCGGGCUCAACCCGAACACUGCAUGUGAUACGGCUAGACUAGAGGGUGGGAGAGGCGAGCGGAAUUACCGGUGUAGUAGUAAAAUGCGUUAAUAUCGGGAGGAACACCUGUGGCGAAAGCGGCGCACUGGACCACAACUGACGCUGAGGCGCGAAAGCUAGGGGAGCAAACAGG
Molecule: ribosomal RNA, 253 nt
Filed under: uncultured bacterium
Lineage: Bacteria
Description: partial 16S ribosomal RNA
Rfam family: Bacterial small subunit ribosomal RNA
Source: RNAcentral